Molecule: ribosomal RNA, 372 nt
Filed under: uncultured Pseudomonas sp.
Lineage: Bacteria; Pseudomonadati; Pseudomonadota; Gammaproteobacteria; Pseudomonadales; Pseudomonadaceae
Description: bacterial SSU rRNA
Rfam family: Bacterial small subunit ribosomal RNA
Source: RNAcentral
AUAUUGGACAAUGGGCGAAAGCCUGAUCCAGCCAUGCCGCGUGUGUGAAGAAGGUCUUCGGAUUGUAAAGCACUUUAAGUUGGGAGGAAGGGCAGUAAGUUAAUACCUUGCUGUUUUGACGUUACCGACAGAAUAAGCACCGGCUAACUUGUGCCAGCAGCCGCGGUAAUACGAAGGGUGCAAGCGUUAAUCGGAAUUACUGGGCGUAAAGCGCGCGUAGGUGGUUUGUUAAGUUGGAAGUGAAAGCCCCGGGCUCAACCUGGGAACUGCUUUCAAAACUGGCAAGCUAGAGUAUGGCAGAGGGUGGUGGAAUUUCCUGUGUAGCGGUGAAAUGCGUAGAUAUAGGAAGGAACACCAGUGGCGAAGGCGACC